Molecule: transfer RNA, 90 nt
Filed under: Rhodospirillales bacterium 69-11
Lineage: Bacteria; Pseudomonadati; Pseudomonadota; Alphaproteobacteria; Rhodospirillales
Also listed under: 11 other names
Description: tRNA-Ser
Rfam family: tRNA
About the family: Transfer RNA (tRNA) molecules are approximately 80 nucleotides in length. Their secondary structure includes four short double-helical elements and three loops (D, anti-codon, and T loops). Further hydrogen bonds mediate the characteristic L-shaped molecular structure. tRNAs have two regions of fundamental functional importance: the anti-codon, which is responsible for specific mRNA codon recognition, and the 3' end, to which the tRNAs corresponding amino acid is attached (by aminoacyl-tRNA synthetases). tRNAs cope with the degeneracy of the genetic code in two manners: having more than one tRNA (with a specific anti-codon) for a particular amino acid; and 'wobble' base-pairing, i.e. permitting non-standard base-pairing at the 3rd anti-codon position.
Source: RNAcentral
GGAGAGAUGGCCGAGCGGCUUAAGGCGCACGCUUGGAAAGCGUGUGUACGUGCAAGCGUACCGUGGGUUCGAAUCCCACUCUCUCCGCCA